UACGGGGGGGGCAAGCGUUGUUCGGAAUUACUGGGCGUAAAGGGCUCGUAGGCGGCCAACUAAGUCAGACGUGAAAUCCCUCGGCUUAACCGGGGAACUGCGUCUGAUACUGGAUGGCUUGAGUGCGGGAGAGGGAUGUGGAAUUCCAGGUGUAGCGGUGAAAUGCGUAGAGAUCCGGAGGAACACCAGAGGCGAAGGCGGCCUACUGGGCUGCACCUGACGCUGAGCCGCGAAAGCCAGGGGAGCGAACGGG
This 253-nucleotide ribosomal RNA is filed under the name uncultured bacterium. Its description in RNAcentral is "partial 16S ribosomal RNA". It matches the Rfam family "Bacterial small subunit ribosomal RNA", at positions 524 to 776 of the family's 1533-position model. The record is from RNAcentral.